Molecule: ribosomal RNA, 301 nt
Filed under: uncultured bacterium
Lineage: Bacteria
Description: partial 16S ribosomal RNA
Rfam family: Bacterial small subunit ribosomal RNA
Source: RNAcentral
CAGCCGCCGCGGGAAUACGUAGGGGGCAAGCGUUAUCCGGAAUAACUGGGCGUAAAGGGUGCGCAGGUGGUUUAACAAGUUAGUGGUGAAAGGCAUAGGCUCAACCAAUGUAAGCCAUUAAAACUGUUUAACUUGAGUGCAGGAGAGGAAAGUGGAAUUCCUAGUGUAGCGGUGAAAUGCGUAGAUAUUAGGAGGAAUACCAGUGGCGAAGGCGACUUUCUGGACUGCAACUGACACUGAGGCACGAAAGCGUGGGGAGCAAACAGGAUUAGAUACCCGCGUAGUCCCUGUCUCUUAUACC